AAGUCAAGCAGUUAGUGUCUGAAAGUGUCAUUACCUGUGUAAGGAUGACGCAGUCACGAUCGUUGGAGGCCCACGACGACCGGGUCGCUGGGCGCAAGCCCCCCUGUAACAAACCCCCUGCCAAUCGCGGCCGCGAUAAUACGCAGUCGACCAAAAACCGAACAACUGUUAACAAUGGAUAUCUUGGUUCUC
Molecule: unclassified non-coding RNA, 192 nt
Filed under: fungal sp.
Lineage: Eukaryota; Fungi
Description: partial internal transcribed spacer region
Source: RNAcentral